CCGAGCAGCACCCGCAGAGCGGGGCCGACCGGCCAGAGGAAAACGGACAGAACGAAGCGACCGCGCAUAACUAGCCAUCGUGUCGUCCUUCUCACUGCAGUAACGAGUGACGAAGACAAAAACACGCUUCAGCAUCAAGCAAUGAGUAUUAUUAGGACCCCCUUCAUACCAUAGACAACUGAGUUAUUGUUUGAUGCGAAGAUUUCGUGGAUGUUUUUUGACAGCUGAACUAAAGUCGUCAAAGUCGCAUUUAUUGCAUUAAAUUCGCUGCCAUCUUGUUCCGGUUUUUAACAACGGCCACGUAAUCAUUGAUUAUGUGGACGGUAACUCAGUUGUCUGCGAUAGCCUUCAAGUAUCUUUAUUUUCGCAUAAUUUUUAAAAUGAUACAUCACUGCUGUAUUUCACAAGCAACUUUUCUAAUAGACAUGGAUUCGUUCAAAAUCCAAUAAUUGCCAUACACGGUUACUAUAGAUGAUACUACAGAUAUACACAGCUAAAUAAUAUAUAGCACAGUGUCAGUGCAAUCUUGUGAAUUUAUCAUUAUAAUGGUUCAAAUCUUGACUUUCCAUGUCUAAUAUACCAGUUGGCCAAUGAAACAUGUGUUAUAUUUUCUGGAAUAUUUUAGACUGGUAAAUAAUUAUGCGAAAGGAUGAUACUAUGCAAUGAGGGGCACCCGUAUUAUUAAUGUUUUAGAAUAAUUUAUUGUGAUCGCGACUUAGUGAAAUUGAACUCUACCUCAAAAUUAUUCGCGAGACGAAGCCUUUAUGGGCGAUUCCCAAAAUAAGUGUACAUAAAUAUCCAGAAUUUAAUUUUCUGUGAUUUUUCUUCUCGUGAUUUUAAUAUGAAAUACAAGUAUCCAUUCCAUAUCGACACGUUUUAUAUGCAUUUUUUGCCGAUAUUUUAUAUACGCAAUCUGGUACCAAUAAUAAACAGACGAGUAAGAAAAACCUCAAAAUUAACUCAGAAAUAUACACUUUUUUCGGGAAAUGCCCUCACGCGUUUGCAAAUUCGUUAGAAAUUAGUGUGCGCGUAGCUAUAUAUUACCUACGUAUAUUAUAUACACGCGUUAGACGCUAUGUAUCGUGUAAAUCCGGUCUCAUGUACAUGGCUUCGCUAUGUUUACAAUUUUUUAAAUGUACCGGUUUUCACUGUCGUAUUUGUCGCAUAAGAAUUUGCGUGCUAGUACCUCUGGGUGUUGUACACGUUUUUAGUACUAUUUUAAACGUCCUAUUAUAGAUAAAAUUCGUUUUAAAAGACCAAUGAAUUAUAUUUAUUUUAAUUGCAAAGUAUAUAUAGGGAUCACGUCUUCACAAAAUGUAUUGUAUAUGGAAUUGUCGAUUGAUCAUCUUUAUAGAAUAGCCACUAGGGGCCUAUCACAUAAAAACAUAAUGUAAGUAAAAUUAUGUGUUGAAGCAUAUCAAAAACAAAAAACAAAACAACGGGUUGAACUCCGGGAGUGCCGGCAGAAGUGAAAACUCAAUGACAUUGUAACAGUUUUUCGAUCAGGUCACGUGUCCGUCUUACGUCUUACGAAUCUUACGGUCACGUGACCUGUCGCGAGUUAAACAUUUUUUCCCCAUCACAAAAAGUGCACAGCGCCGCUAAAGAAGUUUUCACUUCAAAAAUUGUGUCUCUUUGUCUGUCAAUAUUAUUUGGCGCUUACUGUCUGAUUUGAAAUCCCUUCUGUCAAAAGAGAAAUCAUGUUAGCAUAUUGUAUUGAAUAAAAUUCAUAUACAUCGACACAAAGGGCAUAAGACCGCCCCGAUAUGUGUUUAUAGCGACUUGCACAUGGGCAGGUGCAUGCAUUUAUAUAUCGAGUAACGUAAAGAUGCGUCCAGAUCUGGUGAAAGUUCGCGAAUCAUUCGCGCACCGCACGCGCGCUAUACCUCGAACUAUAACGCACUCUACCGCCUUGACAAUAGAGGCGUGUUCAAAUAUUUGUGAGCACCUUGGCCGCUCCGAUAUAUCUGAUAACGACUAAGAUCUGGACGGAUCGGUCAAGGCACCUCGUGGCUAGCCUAGUAGCACUCUGUGUUAGUACUGUGGAAUGAAGUGUUUAUAUGAUAGAGCAAAAAGUUAAUUGUAUUAGAGACUAAAGUCUAAAAAAGUGCUUUCUAGUUUGACAGCUGAUGAUGGCGUACCUAUGAGAGUACACGUUUUCUCUCGCUAAUAAUGUAUAAUGAAUUUUGGUAUGUGUAUAGUUAAUUUUGUUGGAAUGGCCAGGCGUGGCUCACUCCGCGAUUUCGUCGCUUUGCUACAAGUAGCUAAAAGUACAUCCGUUCGACCCCAAUUUUGGGGUUUGCCAUAAGCCGCGCGUGGCGCUGUCGCCACCUAGCGGCCAUAUCUGUGCUGAUCGUGACAGACGCGUUUUGUUAGAGAGUGAGUCUUCUGUACUUAGUACUAUUAUUUAUUCUGUGGAAUGGCUUUGACUUUGGUAAAGGUCCUAGAGAGUGCCAUUUCGCUAACAUAAUUAUAACUGAAUUGUCAAAAGUCAACUUCAAUGUUACCGCUUAAUGUCCGCACAGCUUCAUUAGCUGUUAAAUUGGAAGCACGAAUUUAUAUUUAGACUACACAUCCACUACACGCCAUCAGAUAUAUAACAGCGGCCAAGCUCAUAAUAUCUGAACACGCCUCUACAUAUUGUCAAGGUGCAUGUUCAGAUAUUUUUGAGCACCUCGGCCGCUCCGAUAUAUCUGAUGGCGGCUGUCCAAUCAAUGAAUCUUUAAUAGAGGUAUGGCAUGCGUCAAAAGACAUUAAUUAAGUUAAUUUCCAGUUUAUUGUAUAUUAUAAGAGGCGGGUGGUGGGACGGAGCUCCACGGAGCGGCAUUUUUUUCUGUUUAACUGAAUAAACUGCAUUUAACAGCAUUACUAAA
Long non-coding RNA from Cydia fagiglandana, 2873 nucleotides. RefSeq lists it as uncharacterized. The transcript is spliced from 2 exons. The record is from RefSeq and is a predicted model, not a curated record. NCBI's taxonomy places the organism in Eukaryota, Metazoa, Arthropoda, Insecta, Lepidoptera, Tortricidae.